UUCGCAGUAGCUCAGUGGUAGAGCUAUCGGCUGUUAACCGAUCGGUCGCAGGUUCGAGUCCUGCCUGCGGAGCCA
This 75-nucleotide transfer RNA is filed under the name Rossellomorea vietnamensis. RNAcentral's name for it is "Bacillus vietnamensis tRNA-Asn". It matches the Rfam family "tRNA". Rfam says of the family: Transfer RNA (tRNA) molecules are approximately 80 nucleotides in length. The record is from RNAcentral. Lineage: Bacteria; Bacillati; Bacillota; Bacilli; Caryophanales; Bacillaceae.